This 458-nucleotide ribosomal RNA is filed under the name uncultured bacterium. RNAcentral describes it as "partial 16S ribosomal RNA". It matches the Rfam family "Bacterial small subunit ribosomal RNA", at positions 338 to 795 of the family's 1533-position model. The record is from RNAcentral.
CCUACGGGUGGCAGCAGUGAGGAAUAUUGGUCAAUGGGCGAGAGCCUGAACCAGCCAAGUCGCGUGAGGGAGUACUGCCCUAUGGGUUGUAAACCCUUUUUGUCGGGGAGCAAAAGCCGGACGUGUCCGGCUGUGAGAGUACCCGAAGAAUAAGCAUCGGCUAACUCCGUGCCAGCAGCCGCGGUAAUACGGAGGAUGCGAGCGUUAUCCGGAUUUAUUGGGUUUAAAGGGUGCGCAGGCGGAUUUUUAAGUCAGCGGUAAAAUCGUGGGGCUCAACCCCAUCCAGCCGUUGAAACUGGGGAUCUAGAGUGUGCGAGAGGUAUGCGGAAUGCGUGGUGUAGCGGUGAAAUGCAUAGAUAUCACGCAGAACCCCGAUUGCGAAGGCAGCAUACCGGUGCACAACUGACGCUCAGGCACGAAAGCGUGGGUAUCGAACAGGAUUAGAUACCCCAGUAGUC